CUUAACAGGAAUUUAUAAUGGUGAGCAUUCCGAUCUUCAGUCGAGCUAUGACAAUAAUCCCCCGCCAGAGGGCAGCAUCAAUCUGCCAGCUGGCAACACUGUCCGUGCAUGAAGGAAUAAUGCUCCAUGUGACAGGCAACACAACUAACCCAGUGUACACAGACACUGCUUGGGUAACUUCAAGGUUUAUUCCCUUGGCGUAAAGAGCGCCCCCUUGGGAACAGUACCCGUAUUGACGAGCGGAACAGUGAUUCGCUACCCAGCCGUCAGUCCCGACUCUCGCCAACUGCGAAAGUAAUUCGUAAUUUCAAGGUGGUCAAAUGUGACGUCAUGCAGUGCCUGGCGUGUCCAACCCAUUGACGGAUUGCACGGCAUUGACUCCAACAUUCCACCGAUUAUGCAAGACUUCAAGAACCUCGUAGUUUGCUGCCUUGAAAGUUGUCCAAUAACAAAAACCUCGUCAGUGGAUAAAAUGAAACGGCUUCCGGUGGUUCUGGCAAGGUCUUCGAGAUCCAAACAAACUCGUCCUUGUUGCAAGGUCGUGCGACAACUCUUGCUUUCAAAAUGAAUUUUUUGGGUCGGAUUACUGACAAAGACAGACGGCUGUUUCAUUCAUGAUUGAGUGACGUGAAAAAUGAGCAGACCAAAACUUCAUAGGAAAUAGUGUGAGUGGCGCACCAGUAAUAAGUCUGUUGCAGUUAACACCAUAAAAGAUGUAGAGUUUCUUCUUGACAAGGAUAGAAUUCUAUCAUCAAUCCGGGCGCAAAAUUUGGCCUUUCCAACGGGGAUGGGGCUAUCCAGAUGUAUUGUGCAAUUGAGCACGAUAGAUUAACAUGUGCAUAUUGCGGCAGUAUCUGCAUAUUCUGAUUGGCCAGUUCUGGAUUUAAAUUUUUUGUGGAAGUCGGAAUUCUUGUCCUGCCAGGGGGGUUUGAUUCCCCACAUGCAGGGGAGCCUGCCUCGGCCUCAAAACCAGUUCGCUGUGCCCACAUGGGGCCGAGCUUAAAUAAAUUGAAUGGAAGAAAUAGACUUGCAAUUUGUUCUCGCAAAUUUCGUAAAAAAUUCAAAGGAAGAUAGUUGUUUGUUUUGGGCCCAUUAUAUGUAUGGUGUAUUGCUCCAAACUUCGGUCUAAAUGUCAGUGCUAAAAUUCAAAAUGUUCGAAAUUCGAAAUCAGGAUUUGAAUAAUUGAAUACAAAAUGUUCUUAUAGAUGAUAAUCAAUUUAUUUGAAACAAGUCAGUGUGAAGUGUUGUUGAAUUCAUGACACGUGAUUAGUUCCAAACAAAAAUCAUUUGAAAACUUUCAAAAGGGCAAAGACACAUAAAAAGAACUGAAUUAAAUUUCAGACGAUUCAUUUAAUUGCACUGAGAUCAUUUUUCCGCAUAGUUUCCGUAGUUACGUAACGGAUAAGUCCAGCAUUAAGAUCCCGCAUUUUUAGUCGGACAUAAACUAAUGUACCCGUGGUAACGCCUAAAAAGAAAUUUGUGAUUAAAUGCUUGGGAUAUGACCCAACAUUGAAUACUUACUGGUACUAGGCCCUAAAUGCAUUAUAUUCGUGUUUCAAAUGCUGCUAUACAAAGUGCACAAUGUUAUUAAUCAUCAUCAAUCAAAUUAAGUGGCACUUAUUGGAAGAAUUCUCACGACGUAUACUGUCGUACAUUUCGUUGUAUAUAUUAACAACCACGUGUCAUAAAAAGGAAAAA
Long non-coding RNA from Acanthaster planci (crown-of-thorns starfish), 1698 nucleotides. NCBI's taxonomy places the organism in Eukaryota, Metazoa, Echinodermata, Asteroidea, Valvatida, Acanthasteridae. The record is from RefSeq and is a predicted model, not a curated record.